CAGGCAGAGGUGGGCGGUUCUUCUGGUCCCACCUCCCUGAGCUAGGAGCUCCACUGUUUUUAGACUCCAGCCGAACCCUCAGAACCUAGGGCUGUUCGGGAUCGUCCUUGUAGUUUUCGUCUAUCUUCAGUUCGGGGCAGUUUUCUCUGGGCAGAGAGUCGCCGCAGUGGUCACUCAUCUGCGAGGCGCCCCAGGUCCUGGCGGAAGAGGCUGCAUAGGUCUUACGUUCCCUUGGCGCUUUACUUUUACGUCACCGGUGGCGCCAACGCAGGCCCGCGUCUGAGCCUUGGGUGCCUGCCAGCCCGCCCUUCAGGUUCAAAUCUUUUAUCAUUGGUUCGCUAACCGAAGCUGCGCGUUUGUCAGUCCGUUUGUUCAGCGUGCGCAGAGGCUCCAGAUGGCUCAAGCCCAAGUCUGCCUCGCAAUCACCGCGUCUGAUGACUUGACAGUGCCACGGCUCCCAACACUUCCUCAGACUAUGUGAUGAGGAUUCAUCCACCCUGGAGGCUAUCUGUUAGCAGAAUGCAGUACUCUUCCUGCAUACCUCUCUCUGCAUAUUGCAGGGGAGCUAUCAUGCCUUCUACCUAGCCCAGCUCACCGUACUCACUCCUGCCAUUCUCUUGGUAAUCAACCUCAUCACUCCCCUUUUCACAAAUGAAUAAAACCCCUAUUUGUCCC
Long non-coding RNA from Cavia porcellus (domestic guinea pig), 675 nucleotides. RefSeq lists it as uncharacterized. The transcript is spliced from 2 exons. NCBI's taxonomy places the organism in Eukaryota, Metazoa, Chordata, Mammalia, Rodentia, Caviidae. The record is from RefSeq and is a predicted model, not a curated record.